UCUUAUCAAACUUCAUACCCAGUUCAUCACGUUCUUUUCAUCAAAAGCUCGAAUAUUUCUCUCCGGCAAUUGCAUCUGCCCACUACUUCUUCUUUGACCACCACCACCAAGUUCCAACUUUACACUUUCUCUUCCAACAUGAGCCACUAUCAGAUCAGCCACCAUCACAACCAGAGUGUUGAUUGCGAUUCGGGCUCAGUUGAACAACCCAAAGCUAGGAGAAGCAUUCCCAAUGGAAAUUCGAAGCAUAAGAUGGAUCCAAAACCUGUUUAUAUUCAUGUGAGGGCUUGUCACGGGCAAGCAACCGAUAGCCAUAGCUGAGCUGAAAGAGCCAGAAGGGAGAAAUUAAAAAAGAAAAUGCAAUAUUUGCAAGAUUUGGUUCCAGGUUCCACAAGCGUAGACUUCAAUAUGGACAAUUCAUUGCCUGAAGAGCACCAGCAGAUACAUGUUUCCCAGUGGUAGUGAACCCAGAUUGCCAGAAGAAUUAUGGUUCAGACAAAAAUGGUAGCUAGGAAUUGUCCGCUAAAAAAAGGCAACACAACUGUGGAUGAUUCAUCAACCGAAGAAGAACGUGACGAAGAAACGGAGUCCGUAAUUGAAGAAUUAGAAAGCGAAGACAAUGUGAGCGAAAUAUAGAUUCAUUAAAAACCUUCAUUUAUUUAAUUCCAAUGUUUAUUUUCUUUUAAAACUCAUACCUGUUGGUUAUAUAUAUUCCUAAACGUAAGGAUAAUAUGGCUGAUGUUAUAUUUUAGAUGUUACAAACGUUGGAGCACCAUA
This is a long non-coding RNA of Helianthus annuus (common sunflower), 777 nucleotides long. RefSeq lists it as uncharacterized. Lineage: Eukaryota; Viridiplantae; Streptophyta; Magnoliopsida; Asterales; Asteraceae. The transcript is spliced from 4 exons. The record is from RefSeq and is a predicted model, not a curated record.